This 1244-nucleotide long non-coding RNA is filed under the name Mastacembelus armatus (zig-zag eel). RNAcentral's name for it is "lncRNA (ENSMAMG00000025482.1)". Lineage: Eukaryota; Metazoa; Chordata; Actinopteri; Synbranchiformes; Mastacembelidae. The record is from RNAcentral.
UACAAAAACUCUUUCUGAUAAUCCACCACAUAAACUUACAAUAGGCACACCUGCUUUAUUGCUUACAGCAGGAAAUCACCAAUGAUAAGCAUUAAAACCAUCUCUUCCUGCAUAACAUACCGAUGAAAACUUGAGAUGUCCUUAAUGUCAACCCCUCCUUCUCCUUUACAUCAAGACAGCUCUGUUCAGUUCGCAGUUAUCAUAGUGUCUUCAUCUGUGUCAGCGCCAUGAUCAGACUCUUCUUACACUUAGUAGCUGUGCCGUUCUGCUUAGCAGAACUCUCAAAAAACAAUGUUCGCCAAACUCCCACUGCUAUGAUCAAACAUUCUGGAGAAAAAAUUCUGAUAAACUGCAGCCAUUCAAGCACUAAAUUUGAUAUGAUUCAGUGGUACAAACAGUCUGUUGGGACAAAUGAUAUGGCUCUACUAGGCUACGUACGAUUCUCUUCUGCAGUUGUUGAAAAUACAUUCAAAAAUGAAUAUGACGUGAAAGGGCAUGGGAGCAGUUGGUCGUCCCUUCAUAUUCUAAACCUGACUGGAAUUGAGCCCAGCGUUGUGUAUUUCUGUGCUGCCAGUGAAGCACAGUGCUGCGUAAACGACUUUGACUUCAACAAAAACCUUCUGUGAUGCAGGCAGCAACACAGUCAUGCAGCUGCUGAUAAUAUCAUAAGCAACAAAUAAACCACAUCGUGAAUGACUGAUAUCAGACAACUGUCUCAUAAGACUGCUACAUUCUUCUUAUAACCAUUAGGGGGCAGUGUUUCCCCACCCAUUUCUGACUAACAAAAACAGAAAAAUUUAUUUUAUAUUUGAGACUUGUAUAGUAUAGUAUAGUAUAGUGAUAGAUGGAUGGAUGGCUAGAUGGAUAGAUAUAGAUAGAGAUAGUACUUUAUUCAUCCCAAAAUUCUGCUGAUGCAGCAGCAAAUUACAGGCACUCAACAUAAACAUAAAUCUCACAAGGAAAAGAAAACAAUAUAAGAAAUUAUUUUUAAAAAGAUAGAGGAAUAUAGAAAUUAUAUACAAAAUCAAUACACAAUAAGGGAGCAGACAACAUACAAUAAGUGUGCAAAAAAUCUCAAAGAGAGAACCUAUGUGCAAAUAUUGCCAGUUCAGACAGUCAGUCCAGGGUGUUAUCUGACACAUAGUGAACAUGUGUUGUACAGAGUUAUGAGGCAGGAAGGAUUUCCUGUAGCGAUCCUUAAGACAACAAAGCUGUCUGAGCCUUUUGGAGAAGCUGCUCCAUUG